CUUUAUAAUAAUUAGCACAGUUUGUACAGUCUCUGAGAACUGCCAGCAAAAGGACUAUUAACUUUGGUUAAUGCUGGAACUGUCUCAGCCGUGCUAUCGUUUAACCCAUUGCUGCAUUUUUAAGGGGAGAAAAGUUGUGAUUGUUCUCAAAGGCUCCAUCAGGCCAGCCAUUAAUUACCAAAACUCAUUAAUUAUAACAGAUCGGCUGCUAUAAAAUCCCUUUAACUGAACUUUUGCAAUGAUCAGUACGGAAAUGGUGACAAAUACAGGCAGAACUGUCCCUUUUAAAUUGCUGGCGUUUUAUCUCUCAUCGAAUCCCUAUCUGAAAUUGAGAAAAAUGACCAGUAAGGUUCAGAAACUCAUUCUUCAGAAGAUCAAAGUCAGAAAAUUCUGCUAAUUCCCUUUGAGACAGAAAUAGGAAUUAUAGUUAAGAGACUUCUCCCCGUGACUUUUUCUUUCAUGUUAAGACUCUCUAAUUGUUCCCCAGGUGUAUCUCCCAUUGUAUUCCACUGUAAACUAAUUUGCUGAGCUAUCAGGAACCCGAGAAAAAUCUCUCAGUUAAAAACUGCUUCUCGCAAGAGCAGCUGAAAAGCACACAUUCCGAAGAACCGCAGCAAUGCCCUAUUCCUCAUUGCUCCCAGCAAACAUGCCUGCAGCCUUUGGUCUUGUUUUUUGGUCAACCUCGGUCUUGUCUUGUGGUUCAGGGCUCACGGCUCAGUGUUUACAGGCAGAAUUUCAGCUGAGUGUUCUGAGUUUAUGAAAGCACUUUUACCUUGAUUUUUUUAUUUUUAUUUUUUGUCUCUUCUAGUGCCAGGUUAUUCCUAGAGCAGCUCUCAUUGCUUUGCUUUGUCUCACAUUGCCAUACGGCUGCAAUGCCACCAAUCUACGGGGCAUCCACUCUCCGGCCUGCAGAGGUGUGCAGAGGAAGAAUACACAAAGGAAGGGGAAGGGCUGUAUGCUGUCUGCACGUGUUCUGCAGGUGAUAUUAGGGAAGGUCAGCAGGAAAAAAGGAUGGCCUGUGGAAAGGUAUUCUGCCCUCCAAUUUUAAAAUACCUUUGAGCUCUUACUUUGUAAAAGAAGGAACUGAUGACCUGGUGGCUAAAGAGUAUUGCCAAUUCAAAGGCAAUCGGUUCUUGGAAUAAUUUUGAGGCAUGUUGAGCCAUUUUCCAUAUUUUUCUUUCAUCUUUUUGUAGGAAAAUUUCAGAUUUGAUCUUUUAUUUCCUAUAUUGGCUACAAGAGAGGAUUUGUUUUGCUGUGCCAUGGUACAAAUCAUUUUCAUGUUAGAAAACCAAAACGCAUUAGCUGUGCUUUUACUUGGUGCAGAAGACAGAGGCAUUGGUACUGUAACACAGCGUGUUUUCUGCUCAGUGCAUGGUAUCAUGGCUGGAAAUCCUGAAAUUUGGAGCUACAGAGCACUUCACCCCACAUCUGGGAGGGUAUUCACACUGAGAUCCGAGCAACUCCCAAUGGGCAACUGCUGGCAUUUCGGCUUUUAUUUUGGUCACUGGGUUGAGUGGACCCUGAGAAACACUGGCAAAAAAAUAAACCCUACUCCUAAGCCUAGAUAAAGUUGCAGAUGCUUCAGGCUGAUGCCUGGGACAAGGAAUUAGUAAAAUUAUUAUUCAUUUCAAUGGUGGCUCUUUCAGUGUGGGGCAACACAUCGAUUCUGAGCCUGCUCCGUGAUCAUUUUCCUUUUCGUUAGCGGUAUUUCCUGCCAAAAUUAAUCAGACACUCCUUGAUGCUGG
Gallus gallus (chicken) is the source of this 1745-nucleotide long non-coding RNA. The record is from Ensembl. Lineage: Eukaryota; Metazoa; Chordata; Aves; Galliformes; Phasianidae.